Folsomia candida is the source of this 853-nucleotide long non-coding RNA. RefSeq lists it as uncharacterized. The transcript is spliced from 3 exons. NCBI's taxonomy places the organism in Eukaryota, Metazoa, Arthropoda, Collembola, Entomobryomorpha, Isotomidae. The record is from RefSeq and is a predicted model, not a curated record.
GAAGCAAAUUUGAAUUUUAAAAGAAACUCCGAAGUUUCCUGACCACCCAUUCUCUGCUCCUGAGUAUUCAAGCGAUAAAAAAUCGGGACAGUCAAGUAUUGAGCGAAAAAAGCGGAUUUCAGAUUUUUUAGCUUUUCGCUUUUUCAGAUCUUUUUUACAAACUUGGGAGACCCUAAUCUUGAUGCCAUUUAGUCACGGCUCUAUUUAAACCAAAAAACCAUACAGCAAAACAAGUUUACAAAUCAAUUAAGAUCUGUGAGAUAAAAGGAGAUGUAUUAUUAAUCAGAACACGAAUAACUUUACAAGGAUUCAAUUAACAGAUUAGAUUGCGCUGCGAGUCCUAUGCUUAAUAAAUUCACUCCGAACAUACUUAUAUUUUCGCACACUGUUAUAAGUCAAUUUGCAAAAUUUUACUAUUCACGAUCUAUUAAUAAUGUCAAUCGAUCGCUUUAGUCCCGUCGUGCUCAUUGUUGCCAUCGUUUUCGCAACCCAUGUUGCAAAUCGGCUAGUCCAUCGAACUGAUCCUGCCCAUCGUUUUCACCGUGUUGUGGUGCUUUUUCUCGUGCUGGCGUUUUGCAUUAAGUUGUCAGAACAUCGAAUUCAUAGAGAAGCAAAUGUACAAAGGCCGAAUUUUUUGUUGGCGUGGUAAUUUCCCGGGAUUUUCUUCCUCCUAUUUCCGAAAAUAAAACAGAAAUCCAACCCGUGUAACAUUUGUGCGUUCUCAAUGUUGGGUCCAAAAUUCAUUUGCGUUAUUGCGCAUCUUCAGGGCAUUAGUAUUUAGUUGAAAAGCUUGUUUGUGACAAGACCAUUCGAACUCGUAGUGAAUACCCUCAAUGUUUUAAUUGCUUUCAAU